RNAcentral lists this small nuclear RNA (23 nucleotides) under Arabidopsis thaliana (thale cress). RNAcentral describes it as "snRNA_06080". The record is from RNAcentral. Lineage: Eukaryota; Viridiplantae; Streptophyta; Magnoliopsida; Brassicales; Brassicaceae.
AAAAAUAUCAACGCGGUACACCG